Non-coding RNA from Acidobacteria bacterium 13_1_40CM_2_68_10, 462 nucleotides. Lineage: Bacteria; Pseudomonadati; Acidobacteriota. The record is from Rfam.
GGAGUGAUCCGGAUGGUCGCUGCCCGGACGAACGUCCGGGGAGAGGAAAGUCCGAACUCCGCAGGGCAUUGCGCUGGGUAACACCCAGUCCCGGUGACGGGAAGGAAAGUGCCACAGAAAACAGACCGCCGGGACAGGAGGCCCCGCCUCCUGUCCCGGUAAGGGUGAAACGGUGGGGUAAGAGCCCACCAGCGCCCCGGGUGACCGGGGCGGCUCGGCAAACCCCGCAAGGAGCAAGGCCAAAUAGGGGAGCGCUCACGGGUGGCCCGCCCGAAAGCUCCCGGGUAGGUCGCUUGGCCCCCGUGCCGGGGACCGACGGCUCCAUGGUCCUUCGGGACGGCGGACGCCGCGGUUCCUGCGGGUACGGGACGCCGCCCCCGCGGGUAACCACGGGGGUAGAGGAAUGACCAUCGGCCGCCGGAAACGGCGGCAACAGGAUUCGGCUUACGGAUCACUCCGGUC